UACGUAGGGACCAAGCGUUGUUCGGAUUUACUGGGCGUAAAGGGCGCGUAGGCGGCAUGACAAGUCACUUGUGAAAUCUCCGGGCUUAACCCGGAACUGCCAAGUGAUACUGUCGCGCUAGAGUGCGGAAGGGGCAAUCGGAAUUCUCGGUGUAGCGGUGAAAUGCGUGGAUAUCGAGAGGAACACCUGAGGUGAAGACGGGUUGCUGGGCCGACACUGACGCUGAGUGCGCGAAAGCCAGGGGAGCAAACGGG
RNAcentral lists this ribosomal RNA (254 nucleotides) under uncultured bacterium. RNAcentral describes it as "partial 16S ribosomal RNA". It matches the Rfam family "Bacterial small subunit ribosomal RNA", at positions 524 to 776 of the family's 1533-position model. The record is from RNAcentral.